AGGGGCUGAAUGCAACGCACAGUGCGGAUCUGGUAGCCUGAAUUCCCACAGGUUUUUGUGCAGUAUUCCCACUCAUCUGCUGCCCACAGAGGCCGUGUGCAUUCCUGAAGAUUGCACAUUCUACGAAUGGGCUUUGGCUUUUUGCUGGCUUCACAGAAGCUGCGAUGAACCAUUUUGUUAUCACUUUUCCUGCGGCACCCAUAUUUCGUAUAUUGGAACCCUCCACCACAGGGUUUGGAGCACUGUGACCAACUUUUCAACGCCCACUCAAAAGUAUCUAUUUCCUCCUGUAGGACGUUGUUGCUGUUGAUAGUUGGUACUGAAUCUUCGUGAAUGAUGUAUUUGUAAGUCAGGCUAGAUCUUGUGUCAUUCUCCCGAGGAAUGAUCAGGACAACUACUGCAUCAUGCAAAGGCCCAUCAGUGUGCAGAGUUUCAAUGUCGUCUUCUAUAUUGUAUUCCCAUUCCACACCCAGGUCGAUGAAAGAUCGGGAUCUGGCCUCCUCCCCUUUUCCAUUCAGAAUAUAGUGUCCUGUAGCCUGGUUCUUAAUUGCCAGAGUAUUUUUAGACUCCUUUGUUUCAGAAAGGGAAAUAUUGCGAGCUCCUUUGGGCAAUGUAAAUGCUCCUCUCGUCUUCCAGAUUUCAUUUUCCAGAAACUUGAAUUCUUUUUGGCACCUCUUGCUUAAAUGUUUUCCAAGCUUUUUGGGAGUGCGGGUAAAGGUUCCUUUCACAGUUCG
RNAcentral lists this long non-coding RNA (734 nucleotides) under Gallus gallus (chicken). Lineage: Eukaryota; Metazoa; Chordata; Aves; Galliformes; Phasianidae. The record is from RNAcentral.